UUGAACGCUGGCGGCAUGCCUUACCCAUGCAAGUCGCACGGCAGCAUGAUCUAGCUUGCUAGAUUGAUGGCGAGUGGCGAACGGGUGAGUAAUACAUCGGAACGUGCCCUGUAGUGGGGGAUAACUAGUCGAAAGAUUAGCUAAUACCGCAUACGACCUGAGGGUGAAAGUGGGGGACCGCAAGGCCUCAUGCUAUAGGAGCGGCCGAUGUCUGAUUAGCUAGUUGGUGAGGUAAAGGCUCACCAAGGCGACGAUCAGUAGCUGGUCUGAGAGGACGAUCAGCCACACUGGGACUGAGACACGGCCCAGACUCCUACGGGAGGCAGCAGUGGGGAAUUUUGGACAAUGGGCGAAAGCCUGAUCCAGCAAUGCCGCGUGUGUGAAGAAGGCCUUCGGGUUGUAAAGCACUUUUGUCCGGAAAGAAAUGGCUCUGGUUAAUACCUGGGGUCGAUGACGGUACCGGAAGAAUAAGGACCGGCUAACUACGUG
This 489-nucleotide ribosomal RNA is filed under the name uncultured bacterium. Its description in RNAcentral is "partial 16S ribosomal RNA". It matches the Rfam family "Bacterial small subunit ribosomal RNA", at positions 30 to 507 of the family's 1533-position model. The record is from RNAcentral.